Molecule: ribosomal RNA, 268 nt
Filed under: uncultured bacterium
Lineage: Bacteria
Description: partial 16S ribosomal RNA
Rfam family: Bacterial small subunit ribosomal RNA
Source: RNAcentral
UGACCUACGGGAGGCAGCAGUGGGGAAUAUUGCACAAUGGGGGAAACCCUGAUGCAGCAACGCCGCGUGAAGGAAGACGGUUUUCGGAUUGUAAACUUCUGUUCUUAGUGAAGAAGAAUGACGGUAGCUAAGGAGCAAGCCACGGCUAACUACGUGCCAGCAGCCGCGGUAAUACGUAGGUGGCAAGCGUUGUCCGGAAUUACUGGGUGUAAAGGGAGCGCAGGCGGGAAGCCAAGUGAGAUGUGAAAAAUAAGGGCUUAAAUUGUAG